GACGAACGCUGGCGGCGUGCUUAACACAUGCAAGUCGAACGGAAAGGCCCUGCUUUUGUGGGGUGCUCGAGUGGCGAACGGGUGAGUAACACGUGAGUAACCUGCCCUUGACUUUGGGAUAACUUCAGGAAACUGGGGCUAAUACCGGAUAGGAGCUCCUGCUGCAUGGUGGGGGUUGGAAAGUUUCGGCGGUUGGGGAUGGACUCGCGGCUUAUCAGCUUGUUGGUGGGGUAGUGGCUUACCAAGGCUUUGACGGGUAGCCGGCCUGAGAGGGUGACCGGCCACAAUGGGACUGAGAUACGGCCCAGACUCCUACGGGAGGCAGCGGUGGGGAAUAUUGCACAAUGGGCGGAAGCCUGAUGCAGCGACGCCGCGUGCGGGAUGUCGGCCUUCGGGUUGUAAACCGCUUUCGCAUGUGACGAAGCGUGAUUGACGGUAAUGGGUAAAGAAGCACCGGCUAACUACGUG
Molecule: ribosomal RNA, 468 nt
Filed under: uncultured bacterium
Lineage: Bacteria
Description: partial 16S ribosomal RNA
Rfam family: Bacterial small subunit ribosomal RNA
Source: RNAcentral